RNAcentral lists this ribosomal RNA (401 nucleotides) under uncultured bacterium. Its description in RNAcentral is "partial 16S ribosomal RNA". It matches the Rfam family "Bacterial small subunit ribosomal RNA", at positions 360 to 776 of the family's 1533-position model. The record is from RNAcentral.
AAUAUUGGGCAAUGGGCGCAAGCCUGACCCAGCGACGCCGCGUGAGGGAAGAAGGCCCUUGGGUCGUAAACCUCUGUUGUAUGGGAAGAAGGACGUGACGGUACCAUACGAGGAAGUCCCGGCUAACUACGUGCCAACAGCCGCGGUAAUACGUAGGGGACGAGCGUUGUCCGGAAUUACUGGGCGUAAAGGGCGCGCAGGCGGAUAUUUAAGUCAGCUGUUAAAGUCAUGGGCUCAACUCAUGGAUGCGGUUGAAACUGGAUAUCUCGAGUGCUGGAGAGGUAGGCGGAAUUCCCGGUGUAGCGGUGAAAUGCGUAGAUAUCGGGAAGAACACCAGUGGCGAAGGCGGCUUACUGGCCAGCAACUGACGCUGAGGCGCGAAAGCCAGGGGAGCGAACGGG